RNAcentral lists this transfer RNA (77 nucleotides) under Bacillus subtilis subsp. subtilis 6051-HGW. Its description in RNAcentral is "tRNA-Met". It matches the Rfam family "tRNA". From Rfam's summary of the family: Transfer RNA (tRNA) molecules are approximately 80 nucleotides in length. Their secondary structure includes four short double-helical elements and three loops (D, anti-codon, and T loops). RNAcentral also lists the same sequence under 1 other name. The record is from RNAcentral. Lineage: Bacteria; Bacillati; Bacillota; Bacilli; Caryophanales; Bacillaceae.
UCGCGGGGUGGAGCAGUUCGGUAGCUCGUCGGGCUCAUAACCCGAAGGUCGCAGGUUCAAAUCCUGCCCCCGCAACC